RNAcentral lists this ribosomal RNA (478 nucleotides) under Camaenidae sp. NE14. RNAcentral describes it as "partial 12S ribosomal RNA". The record is from RNAcentral. Lineage: Eukaryota; Metazoa; Mollusca; Gastropoda; Stylommatophora; Camaenidae.
GUCACACUUUAGCACCAGAACUAAUCAGCAUAACUUACACUUGUGAUAACAUAUGUGGUGAAAUAUAAACGGAUGAGCCGCUAUUCGUGUAACAUAUACAGUUAAACAUUGGUAUUAAACAGGGAUUAGAGACCCCUUUAUACAGUGCUCACUAACUCAUGCUAAGUACUAAUACCAUACAGGUAAAAACUUAAACAACGUGGCGGUAACUUCAACUUAGGGGAACUUACUACGUAAUUGAUAACCACCAAGGGUAAUCGACUGCUUAAAAAUCUUGUAUGCCGUCGUCGUCAGGUAACACUUGAUGUCCUACCGGAUGAGCAAACUAAAAAGACAGAUCAAGGUGCAGACAAUUAAGCAGGGGCGGCGAGUUACAGUUUUGAUUAUUAACGGAGAGGCUAGGUAUUUAACAUUGAAGGUGGACUUAACAGUAAUAAAAAUGACGAAUAUUUUAUGAACUUCUUGARGUUGUGCACAA